Callithrix jacchus (white-tufted-ear marmoset) is the source of this 2440-nucleotide long non-coding RNA. RefSeq lists it as uncharacterized. The record is from RefSeq and is a predicted model, not a curated record. Lineage: Eukaryota; Metazoa; Chordata; Mammalia; Primates; Cebidae.
UCUUUUUGCUACAUAUUAACAUUGGGAAGUUUUCCUUUGCUUUUGAGAGAGAGAAACUGGAGAAAUGGCCUUUUGUGCAGAUUCCUGUUAAGGAAGUACCACUCAAAACUCAAACUCUCUGUCAAAGAAAAAUUGCACUAGAGUUAAACAGGCAAAGAAGACCUUAUUCAAGACUGCAAUAAGGGAGAGAGAUUGAGCUCAACUCAGCUGAAACAAAAGGCAGUUCUGGAGUCUGGGAAGUCCAAGAUCAAGAUGCCGGCAUAUUUGGUUCCUGGUGAGGGCUCUCUUCCUGACUUGCAAAUCCUACAUGGUCGAGUCCCUCUUUCUCUACUUAUAAGGACACUAAUCCCAUUAUAGGGGUCCUAUCCUCAUGACUUCACUUACACUUGAGUAUCUUUCAAAGGCCUCAUCUUCAAAUACCAUCACACUGAACAUCAGGGUGUUAACACAGGAAUUUAAAGCAAAGAAGAUAAAAAGGGGGAUAUGAUUAAAGACAAGAUCAUAGACAGAGAUUUGAAGGAUAUCUAAUGAAGACCUACCACACUGAUAAUUUGGUGUUUCUUAUGAUGUGAACAGAUAUGAAUCAGCUUGAUGGGGGCAUUCAGAGGCAUAACAAAGAACAAUCCUAAGCCAGAAAAAGUCUGAACCAGCAGUCAAAUGGGCCCACUCCAUAACAAAGUUAACAAAAAUUGAUAAAAAAAAAAUCCAGACAUAGCUAAGCUUUGGAAUUUUGAGAGACCUAUGAGAAUCCAGGGAGGAAAAAAAUACCUACCAGUAAAGGAGGAAAAUAUUUAACUGGUCUCAGACUUAAAAUAUAAUGUACCAAAAAAUAAUGAAGCAAUACCUAAAGUGUUUAAGGGGGUUUUGAUUCUCAUUCCUUCUAACUGCAUGUCAAAGCAGGUGGUUUUUAUUUAUAAAGACAGUGAAAACAAUCCCAGAUACAUAAGGACUCUGGUAGUAUUUGUUCUUCAUACUCUAUCAUAAAAAAUUACUUAAAGCAUUACUUUCAUCCACUGGAAUACAAUUUAAAGUAAUAAACUAUAAUCAGGAAGUCACAAUGCCAGAGGAAUGACAGUAAAUGCAGGAACUACUUGAAAAUAGAAUGAGUUCUAAAUAAAUAUCAUAAAUGUGAUUUGAAAAAACUAUGCAGAUGUUAACAUUUUAAAAAGAGAAGGUAUAGAAUGUAGCAGAAACCAACAAUGACAAUAAAAUAUGACAAUCUCAAAUCAUGCUAAAAUAAAGAAUUUGAUGAGUGUAUUUCUUCUCUCUCUCUCUCUUUUUUUUUUUUGAGACAGAGCCUCACUUUAUUGUCCAGGCUGGGGUGCAGUGAGCCAAUCUCAGCUCACUGCACACUCUGCCUCCCAGGCUCAAGUGAUUCUCAUACCUCAGCUUCUUGAGUAGUUGAGACUACAGGUGUGUGUCACCACAUCAGACUAAUUUUUGUGUUUUUAGUAGAGAUGGCAUUUUGCCGUGUUGGCCAGGCUGGUCCGAAACUCCUGGCCUCAAGCAAUCCACCUGCCUUGGUCUCCCAAAGUUCUGGGAUUACAUGUGUGGGCCACAGUGCCCAACGGAAGGGUGUAUUUCUUAACCCUAUAUAGGAAAGAGAAAUUUGUUUUCUUUUGUUUUGUUGAGAUGGAGUCUCACUCUGUCACCCAGGCUGGAGCGUAAUGGCACAGGUUCGGCUCACUGCAAUCUCCGCCUCUCAGGUUCAAUGGAUUCUCUUGCCUCAGCCUCCUGAGUAGCUGGGAUUACAAGUGCCUGCCACCUCACCUGGCUGAUUUUUAGUAGAGACAGGGUUUUACCAUGUUGGCCAGGCUGGUCUCAAACUCCUGACCUCAUGAUCUGCCCACCUCAGCCUCCCAAAGUGCUGGGAUUUUGGAUGUGAGCCACCACAGACAUCUUGGAAAGAGAAAAAAUUUUAAAAAUCAACUGAUAUUGUACUUAGAAAAAUAUGGACUUACAUUUUGUUUUUUAUAACUUUAAAAGUUAUCACAAAUAAAAAUAAAACCUAACUAUGUAACCAUUAAAUUAGUGGAGAAGAAAAAUAAAGCAAAAAUAAAAAGCAAUUAGAAGAUUUUAAAAAACCCACGUAAAACAAAGUAUCAGGAAUAAGGCCAACCAUGCUUGACAUGGUAAUAAUUAUAAAUGGCAUAAAGUUAAUUUCAUAAAACAUAUCAGAUUGACUCCCAAACCAAAAUGGAACUAUAUACUAUCAAUAAGAGACACACCUAAAAUUCAGUGCCUCAGAAAAACUACAAUUACAAGAUAAAAUAUUUUCUAGAAGUGAAAAUGUAAAGAAAGUUGGGCUGCAAUAUUUGAAGAAGAUGUGGAUUUUAAAAUAUAAAAUAUUAAGUUUAUCAUAGGUAGAAUGAUGUGUUAUAAUGGAGGGAAUUACCAAAAAAUGAAAAUAAAAUUUUCAUCAACCUGCAUGUAACAGAAU